RNA transcript from Dunckerocampus dactyliophorus (ringed pipefish), 5864 nucleotides. It is a transcript of the gene named WD repeat domain 19, with no coding region annotated. Lineage: Eukaryota; Metazoa; Chordata; Actinopteri; Syngnathiformes; Syngnathidae. The record is from RefSeq and is a predicted model, not a curated record. The transcript is spliced from 41 exons.
UGUUGCUAUGACGUCUGCCUCAGACGCUGUAGCGUCAAACAACUCGAGAGCUAUUCCCGCAAACAAAAUGAGUUUGCACUCCAUCAUGUAGUUGCUGAGUUCCGUAAUCUAAAAUGUUUUUCAUGUUUAUACUACAAAUAAUUCGAGAAGGGUAGAGUAUUGUGGCUUGGUAUACAUCUAACGGCUCAUGAACUGAACUGUUUGGACAUAUCGACUGACUGGAUUAGGGGGUCAAAACAGAUCAAGAUGAAGAGCGUCUUCACCCUUGUGGACAAUGCCUGGACAGGCUCUCAGUUAAUGUACAAGUGGCAGAAAUCCCUGGGGAAUUAUAUAGCUGUUGCAGGACAAGACAGCUCAGUAAAAAUAUUUGAUCGCCAUGGGCACAAGUGGACUGAAAUCAGCCUUCCUGGACGUUGUGUGGGGAUGGACUGGGAUAAGGAUGGGGACAUUUUGGCAGUGAUAGCAGCCAAAUCCAGCUCAAUCUACCUUUGGGAUGCCAGCGUGAAUAAAACAUCUAAGAUCGACAGUGGCAUGAGAGAUCAUAUGUCCCUCAUUGUAUGGUCAAAAACGGGCCCCAUCCUGGCAGCUGGGACAGUUAAAGGAAAUUUGUUAAUCUACAAUCAGCAGACCUCACACAAGAUCCCAAUACUAGGCAAGCACACCAAGAAGAUCACCUGUGGCUGUUGGAACGCUCAGAAUCUGCUGAUUCUUGGAUGUGAAGACAACAAUCUGAGCAUCAGCAAUCAAGAGGGGGACACUAUCAGAGAGGUAAAACUGCGUGGGGCACCUGCUGAUAUUUACAUCUCAAUGAGGAAGACAAGCGAAAGGAUAUCCCAAGGAGAGAACACUGUGAGUGUCUGUGUGGAAAAGAAGAUUCUAGUCAUUUUUAACAUCUACAACAAAGACGACUGGUAUGAUCUGGCGUUUAACGCGAGUUAUGGACGCAUCGUCUCCUAUCGCUGGUUUGGUGAUGGGUACAUACUCAUUGGCUUCUCCCAUGGAUACUUCGUUGUCAUAUCCACUCAUGCCAGAGAGAUUGGAAAUGAGCUCUGGCAGGCUCGCAACCAUAAAGACAGCCUGAACAGUGUAGCCAUCUCAUCAGCAUUAAACAAGGCAGCUUCCUGUGGGGACAACAGCAUAAAGAUCCAUGACCUCUCUGACCUUAAAUACAUAAGCAAUGUCAUUCAGCUGGAGGAUGAGACAAAAGGUCUGGACCAGCUGAGCUGGACAGAUGAUGGCCAGCUGCUAGCAGUUUCCACACAAAAAGGGACUCUUCAUGUCUUCCUCACAAAGCUUCCUAUACUGGGGGACAGCUACGGAACCAGACUGGCCUACCUUACAUCUUUGCUGGAGGUCACAGUGUCAAACUAUGGGACAUCUCCUGUGGCCAUACAAGUAGAAGUAGAACCGACUUUUAUUGCUGUGGGACCCUACCACGUGGCCGUUGGAAUGAACAACAAAGCAUGGUUCUACGCUCCUCUUGAACAAGAAUCCGAUUUUACCAAAUUGAAGGAGAUUGAGUACUUUGGGACAGUUGCCAACAUGUGCCUUAAUGCAAAAUAUGCCGCAGCGCUGUUUGAUGGCAAAGUGCAGCUUCACAUGAUCGAUGGCAGUGAGCAGGAGGAGAGAAAGCAGAUGAAGUUGUUUCCAGACGAUGACAGAAAAGGCCGUAUCCUUUGCCAUGCCCUCACCGCGGACUUCCUCUACUAUGGCACUGAUUUAGGUAACGUGGUGUGUGUCUUGGUGGAGGAUUGGGAGACUGUGAGCACUUACAGUCACACAGUGGCCAUGAGGAAAGUUUUCCCGGAUGUAAAUGGUACACGGUUGGUCUUAAUUGACGACAAGAAGGGCGGUUUCCUGCUCACCCUUUCAAGUACAGCAGACUCCUGCCUUGAGCUUCCAAAUUUCUCCCCCACCAUCACUGGAGUGCUGUGGGAUAACUGGCACGCUGACAGAGGAGUGUUUGUAGCUUAUGACGACGACAAGGCCUAUACUUAUGCGGUACAUAAAGCAACCAUUUACGGCCCGCGUGUGGUGUUAGUGGGGAACACUGCACUACUCUCUUCCCAGAAGCCUUUGCUGUUGUACAAUGGGGCCCUGACGUGCCAGACAGCCAGUGGCAAGAUUAGUGAAGUGGCUCUGAGCACACACUCCUUUCUCGAGCUCUCAACCAGCACGUCGUCUGGGUCACAGCCAGAAUUCAGCAAACAGCUCACGCAGGCCCUCCUGCUCAAGAGGUUCCAUGAAGCCUGGGAUCUGUGUUUGACGGAGGGCAGGGAAGCCGACAAAGGGGAGGUCGGCAAAACCUGUCUGGUCCACAUGGAGGUUGAGCUGGCCAUCCACUUCUACCGCAUGAUUGGCAAUGUGGGCAUGGUGCUGUCACUGCAGGCCGUCCAGGGCAUCGAGGAUAAUAACUUACUUGCAGGUCAUUUGGCCAUGUUUCUGGAGGACUUCUGUCUUGCACAGGAUCUUUAUCUGGCCUCAAGUUGCCCAAUUGCUGCUUUGGAGAUGAGGAGAGACCUGCUGCACUGGGACAGUGCUCUGAAGUUAGCCAAGGGGUUAGCGGAAGACCAGAUUCCCUUUCUCUCCAAAGAAUAUGCUGUUCAUCUGGAGUUUAUUGGAGACUACAUGAAUGCUCUUUCUCACUACGAGAAAGGCAUGACCCAUAAUAAUAAAUUCCAGGAGCAUGAUGAGGUGUGCCAGGCUGGUGUUGCCAGGAUGUCCAUUCGGAUGGGGGACAUAAGGAGAGGAGUGGCCCAUGCUAGCCAACACCCAAGUAGAGUCCUGAAGAAAGAAUGUGCAGCCAUACUGGAAAGCAUGAAGCAAUUCUCUGAAGCUGCUCAGCUCUAUGAAAAAGGACAGUGUUAUGACAAGGCGGCAUCGGUUUAUAUUCGCUGCAAAAACUGGGCAAAGGUGGGAGAGUUGCUCCCAUAUGUCACCUCUUCUAAGAUCCACCUGCAGUACGCCAAAGCCAAGGAGGCAGAUGGCAAGUAUAAGGAGGCAGCACAAGCCUAUGGGAGUGCUAAGGACUGGGACAACGUGACUCGGGUGCUACUGGAUCACCUGAAGAACCCAGAAGGUGCUGUACGCAUUGUUAGAGAGACGCAGAGUGUUGAAGGGGCAAAGAUGGUGGCCAGGUUCUUCCUGUCACUGAAUGACUAUGGUUCGGCCAUCCACUUCCUGGUGCUGUCUCAGUGCAAUGAUGAAGCCUUCCAGCUAGCACAGCAGCACAGGCAGAUGGAGGUCUAUGCAGACAUCAUCGGCUCGGAUGCAACACUACAGGACUAUCAGAGCAUCGCUCUCUACUUUGAGGCAGAAAAGAACCACCUGCAGGCUGGAAAAUUCUUCCAGAAGUGUGGGCAAUACAGCAGAGCCCUGAAGCAUUUCCUAAAGUGUCCCAAUACGGAGGACAGCCCUGCUUUGGACAUGGCCAUUGAGACGGUGGGCCAAGCGAAGGACACCACCCUGACCAAUCUACUGAUAGAAUACCUGAUGGGGGAGAGUGAUGGCAUCCCAAAGGAUGCCAAGUACCUGUUCCGUCUCUACAUGGCACUGCAGCAAUAUAGAGAGGCUGCUCGCACCGCCAUCAUCAUUGCCAGAGAAGAGCAGAAUGCUGGUAACUACCGUAGCUCCCACAAUGUGCUGUUCAGCAUGUACACACAGCUGCAGGCCCAUAACAUAAAGAUUCCUGCGGAAAUGGCCACUAAUUUGAUGAUCCUGCACUCCUACCUGCUUGGAAAGAUUCACAUCAAACGAAGAGACCACCUUAAAGGGGCGCGCAUGCUCAUUCGCGUCAGCAAGAACAUCAGCAAGUUUCCUGCACAUGUUGUACCCAUUCUGACAUCAGCGGUCAUUGAAUGUCACCGAGCUGGGUUAAAGAACUCAGCUUUUGGCUUUGCUGCCAUGCUGAUGCGACCCGAGUACCGAAACGAAAUCCACCAGAAUUACAGGAAAAAGAUUGAGGCGAUGGUUCGGCGUCCCGAUACGACAGAGUUGGAAGAGGAAACUACACCGUGCCCUUACUGUGGCUUCCAGCUACCACAGAAUGAACUGCUGUGUAUCUCCUGCAAGAACAACCUGCCUUAUUGCAUUGCCACAGGUCGUCACAUGCUGAAAGAAGACUGGUCCGUGUGUCCUCAUUGUGAAUUUCCCGCACUCUACUCACAGUUCAUCUUAUUGCUGGAGACUGAGACAGCGUGUCCCAUGUGCUCGGAGACUCUGAGUGCCCAGCAGUUAAAGAAGAUUACAGAUUGUUCCAAAUACCUGCAGACUGAUGAACUGGAUCAGUAAAGGCGGUGUCCAUGGCAACGUGGGUGGGGCUAACAAUGACUGCUCGUCUCUGCUCCUCCUCUGCACUCGCUCGUCUCUCCUGAGUGCGCUCAAUGUGAUGGAUGGCCUGAGAGGAGCAAACAGACAAUACGGCGCAUCAUGGCAAAUAUUCAUUCAAAAUCUUGCAACAUAGACUCGCCGGACAGAGGAUUAGUUGCUGGACUACAGACCAACUUUCCAGGUAUGCAUGCGUGAGACAGACCAACCUUUGGACUGUGAGGUUGUCGGUCUGCAGCUUGGAUCUGCUGCAGCCUUAACAGCGUCUGGCUCUGGAGGUGUGCCUGCUCUUCCUCCACCUGCUGGGUGAUCACCUUGAGACGCUCCGGGUGCAGCUGGGUGUCCAAUGAGCGCACCUGCAUCCAAAUCCAUAUGCAUGCGAGCAGAACGUUCUCGGUCCAGCUGCUGGCGCAACUCCAGCAUUUCUCUCCUCAGCUCCUCCACCUUCUCUUCAUCCAGGGUGUCAGGAGACCCGAUGCCUUCAUCUUUCUCUUCUGCUCGCCUCCUCUUUGGAGGGUUUUGAGGGACUGGAAGCCAGCGUUGAUGCUCUGCAUGCGUCGCCGCUCAUUGCUGUUCGCGAUUUCGCGACGGAUUCGUCUCUCCUGGUCCUGUGCCGUCUCUGGACUGAAGGGGAUGUUGGCCAGGCUGGAGGAGUCACAUGACAGAGAUGCACUCACACCUGCCAGCUGCGAUUCCUGAGCAAGUGCUGCACUGGUGGUGCCCGGAUUCUGCAACUGAAUCAACUUUCUGAGACAGUCCUGACGCUUCCUGGACUUUCUGGGGCGCCCUGAAGCCUUCUUCACAACAAUUGAACCUCUCUCAUUGAAGUACUUGAUGAUGCGAUAAAUGGUAACCAUGGUUAACAGAGGAAAAACAAAGAUACCAAGCACCACCCUCCUUUUACUCUAACUCAAUUAGCAUCACAGAGUCAUCUUCAGCUUUUGUCCUUGUGAACACUCUCACCUAUGUUAACAAGCAAACCACUGACAUGAGGUCAACUGGUCCUUUUGUGUAAAUUGUGUUUUUGGGAUUAAGAUCAUUUCCAUGACAAAGGGGGAUUUUGCCAUUCAUCUUAUCGCUCUUCGCAACAGUACAGUAUAUGCAAAUUGCCAUAAUAAAAACUGAGGUAGCUGAUGUGAAAAUUAAUAUUUGUGUCAUUCUCAAAACUUUUGGCCAUAACUGUACUUAAAUCAAGUAAAAAUAUAAAUAAAAUAUAGAAUGUAAAAAAUAAAGUAUGCAGAGAUUUUAAGGUAUUUCUGUGAGGUAUUGCACAUAGUCCAUUUGAUCAGAGUUGAGGUAUUAGUCAGGGAAAACAAAAUAUUGUAUAAUAUUUGAAUGCAUAUGUCCAACGCUCUCACACGCCUGUUGUGAAUUUUGCCAGUCAGCUCUUAGAGAACAAGUGCAAAAAUAAAAGAAGGUCAAAUUAAGUUCUGAAAUUUUGCCUAAAAGAUGAAUAUCCCUAACUUUUUAUAAGUCGUAUAUUUUUAAAAAUCCUCAGAGGAAAUCAUGAGAACUUAAAUAACCUGUUCGAAAUUUUA